Molecule: long non-coding RNA, 891 nt
Filed under: Vigna radiata
Lineage: Eukaryota; Viridiplantae; Streptophyta; Magnoliopsida; Fabales; Fabaceae
Description: long non-coding RNA (VRAD_LNC017157)
Source: RNAcentral
UCCCCUGUGAAGGACUUUCUGUACAAAUUGACCAAAACAUUCGUGUAAACGUUUACCACCUAAUGGUAAACGUUUACACCACCCCUUUUCAAUGCACUUGACUCAUGAUUUCAUCCAACUACAUUUUGUUAACACAACACCAUCCUCAAUAGAAUUUGGGGUCCCCAAAAUCAACUAUCCACCCCCAAAACACAACUUAAAAAAAAAAAAAUCAAAAACCCAUGCAAAGUUUGCCAAAAAGUUGAAAUUUGACAUCUUGGUCCCCCUUGUGUACAAAAAAGUGGUCCCUUGUGAAGGACUUUCUGUACAAAUUCACCAAAACAUUCGUGUAAACGUUUACCACCUAUUGGUAAACGUUUACACCAACCUUUUUCAAUGCACUUGACUCAUGAUUUCAUCCAACUACUUUUUGUGAACACAAGACCUUCCUCAAUGGAAUUUGGGGUCCCCAAAAUCAACUAUCCACCCCCAAAACACAACUUAAAACCAAAAAAAUAAAAAACCCAUGCAAAGUUUGCCAAAAAGUUGAAAUUUGACAUCUUGGUCCCCUGUGUACAAAAAAGUGGUCCCUUGUAAAGGACUUUCUGUACAAAUUCACCAAAACAUUUGUGUAAACGUUUACCACCUAUUGGUAAACGUUUACACCACCCUUUUUCAAUGCACUUGACUCAUGAUUUCAUCCAACUAAUUUUUGUGAACACAACACCUUCCUCAAUGGAAUUUGGGGUCCCCAAAAUCAACUAUCCACCCCCAAAACACAACUUAAAACCAAAAAAAUCAAAAACCCAUGCAAAGUUUGCCAAAAAGUUGAAAUUUUACAUCUUGGUCCCCUGUGUACAAAAAAGUGGUCCCUUGUGAAGGACUUUCUGUACAAAUUGACCAAAACAUUCG